This 433-nucleotide ribosomal RNA is filed under the name uncultured bacterium. RNAcentral describes it as "partial 16S ribosomal RNA". It matches the Rfam family "Bacterial small subunit ribosomal RNA", at positions 29 to 507 of the family's 1533-position model. The record is from RNAcentral.
AACGAACGCUGGCGGCAUGCCUAACACAUGCCAGUCGAACGAGACCUUCGGGUCUAGUGGCGCACGGGUGCGUAACGCGUGGGAACCUGCCCUUAGGUUCGGAAUAACUCCCCGAAAGGGGUGCUAAUACCGGAUAAUGUCUUCGGACCAAAGAUUUAUCGCCUUUGGAUGGGCCCGCGUUGGAUUAGCUAGUUGGUAGGGUAAAAGCCUACCAAGGCGACGAUCCAUAGCUGGUCUGAGAGGAUGAUCAGCCACACUGGGACUGAGACACGGCCCAGACUCCUACGGGAGGCAGCAGUGGGGAAUAUUGGACAAUGGGCGAAAGCCUGAUCCAGCAAUGCCGCGUGAGUGAUGAAGGCCUUAGGGUUGUAAAGCUCUUUUACCCGGGAUGAUAGUGACAGUACCGGGAGAAUAAGCGCCGGCUAACUCCGUG